RNAcentral lists this long non-coding RNA (1818 nucleotides) under Cimex lectularius (bed bug). Its description in RNAcentral is "uncharacterized LOC112127635". The record is from RNAcentral. Lineage: Eukaryota; Metazoa; Arthropoda; Insecta; Hemiptera; Cimicidae.
UAACCAUGUGAAAAAGCUAUUGCUUGUAUUUUGUCACCAGUAUUCACCAUAUCAAUUUCUUUUUAAAUCCUUAAUAAUUGAUGGCUCGAUUGUAAAAAGUUAUUAUCUUUAGAAAAAUACCCGAUAAGCGAUAAACCUCAUUAUUCACGAUUACUGCGAUGUUAAAGUUUAACAGAAACGACCAGCAAUAUAGUAGGGAUUUCACUCUAUAAUGAAGACAAACUAGGAUGGGAUUGAACAUAAUUUGGGCUGGCUUGUUAAAUUACAUUCUACUGUAAGCCACUCUACUACUUAACGCUGUCUCUAGGCCUGUGCUGUUCUAUGCAUGCCACAUUUGGGGAUAUCAACAAAUCAACAGUACAGAAAUUUCAGACAUUUUUAAUCAAAAAAUAUUUGGCCUUUCCACCUAAACUACAGGCUAGACAUUGUAUUUAGAGACAACCAAGGACCUAUUGAUGCUAGAAGGGGCCUUAAUAUAAACGGAUGGAUCUAAGAUGGAACAGGGAGUAGGCGAAGAGGUAAAAGGGCCGAAUUACACCCAUGCGAAGCCCCUUGGACUAACCCCAACGAUUUUCCAAGCUGAAGUCCAUACAAGAGUGCACAUUGGUGAGCAGUCAUCUAGAGUAUGCUAGUGUUGUUUGUUCGCCGGAUUCUUUAAGAUAUACAUACUCUCAGAGCCGGGCAGCCAUAAAGGGGGUGCGUAUGCGUAUGCUUUCAACUCCAAACUUGUCUGGAAGUGCCUAAACUGCCUAAUGACUCUGGGAAAGCAAAACAAGAUUACCUUGAAAUGGGUUCCCAGUCACGAAGGCAUAGAAGGAAAGGAAAGGGCUGACCAUAUGUCCAAAAAAGGAGCAACCCUCUCACCCAUGGGACCAGAACCACAACUAAGUACUCAGUGUGUGUUAUAGUUGGAACUGGAAAAACGAGUUGAGAAAGAAAAACUCACUGGACAAAUACUCCAGAUAAGAGGCAAGCUAAGAGAUCUAUAAACAUCUCAAAACGGAAGUCGAAAGAACUCCUCUUUCUCAGAAGGCAGGAUUUGAGAAAAAUUCUAGGCCUCUACACCGGCCAUUGCCCUCGUAUCAUCUUAAAAGGCAAGGCUGAGAGAGAAACAUGCCGGCUUUGCCACGAGAAACCAAGUAGAUCACGAAAAGGCACCAAGGAACGUGCUCAGAUAGCUCACUUUCCAAAGUAUGGCAAUAAGCUAUAGUUCCCCAAUAGACCUGAUUUGGUCACAAUGGAUGAAUGAAUCGUAUUCUGCAUCAACACCAAAUAAACCAUAAAAAAAAGUAUUGUGGAUAAAAACUGUCAUCGUCUUAUUAUUAUAUUUACAGGCAACGUAAAAUUCACAAAUCACACCUACUUAGGUCCAAAACAUCCUGCAUUUAUUUGGGUAUUAUCCUUCCUUGCGGUAUUUUAAUGUUAACAGGAGAAAUUAGGGGAUCAGAAGAAAAUUUCAUCGUUUCCAGCAGUUUCGUAGAAAUGGUUUUUAAUACUUUUAUUUACAAUUCUUUAUGCAGCUAGAAGCUUUAUCCAGCACUUGGAACCGCUCUUUUUUUUUUAAUUUUACCUGCUCCUCCCGGGACAGGACAGGCAUUACCAAAUAUUAAAUCUACGCUGUAUGUAAGUUUUUCGCAGUCGAUUUUUAGUAACGAUUUACUGGGUAGAGUUGUGUCAGAUGGCUUGUAACAGAGUUGCGAAGGUUUGCAAAAGCAAAAACGAGCGGUAUCAAUUGCAUACAUGGCUGCCAAUAGCCCGAUAGUAUAGUAGAUAGUAAAUGUUAAACAAUUGGCCAAAAGGGGGCGUCGGUGGCCGCAA